RNAcentral lists this ribosomal RNA (255 nucleotides) under uncultured bacterium. RNAcentral's name for it is "partial 16S ribosomal RNA". It matches the Rfam family "Bacterial small subunit ribosomal RNA", at positions 524 to 776 of the family's 1533-position model. The record is from RNAcentral.
UACAGAGGGUGCAAGCGUUGUUCGGAAUUACUGGGCGUAAAGCGCGUGUAGGCGGCGAUAUAAGUCGGAUGUGAAAAUCCCUCGGCUUAACCGAGGAAGUGCACCCGAUACUGUGUCGCUUGAGUACCGGAGGGGAUGGCGGAAUUCCCGGUGUAGAGGUGAAAUUCGUAGAUAUCGGGAGGAACACCAGUGGCGAAGGCGGCGACCUGGGCCAAUACUGACGCUGAGGUGCGAAAGCGUGGGGGAGCAAACAGG